RNAcentral lists this ribosomal RNA (468 nucleotides) under uncultured bacterium. RNAcentral's name for it is "partial 16S ribosomal RNA". It matches the Rfam family "Bacterial small subunit ribosomal RNA", at positions 28 to 507 of the family's 1533-position model. The record is from RNAcentral.
GACGAACGCUGGCGGCGUGCUUAACACAUGCAAGUCGAACGGAAAGGCCCUGCUUUUGUGGGGUGCUCGAGUGGCGAACGGGUGAGUAACACGUGAGUAACCUGCCCUUGACUUUGGGAUAACUUCAGGAAACUGGGGCUAAUACCGGAUAGGAGCUCCUGCUGCAUGGUGGGGGUUGGAAAGUUUCGGCGGUUGGGGAUGGACUCGCGGCUUAUCAGCUUGUUGGUGGGGUAGUGGCUUACCAAGGCUUUGACGGGUAGCCGGCCUGAGAGGGUGACCGGCCACAUUGGGACUGAGAUACGGACCAGACUCCUACGGGAGGCAGCAGUGGGGAAUAUUGCACAAUGGGCGGAAGCCUGAUGCAGAAACGCCGCGUGCGGGAUGACGGCCUUCGGGUUGUAAACCGCUUUAGCCUGUGACGAAGCGUGAGUGACGGUAAUGGGUAAAGAAGCACCGGCUAACUACGUG